RNAcentral lists this transfer RNA (63 nucleotides) under Fistulobalanus kondakovi. RNAcentral's name for it is "tRNA-Cys". RNAcentral also lists the same sequence under 1 other name. Lineage: Eukaryota; Metazoa; Arthropoda; Thecostraca; Balanomorpha; Balanidae. The record is from RNAcentral.
AAUGGUGUAAUUUAAUAAAAAUUUUGCUCUGCAAAGGCGAAUAUACUCUAUGAGUUACCAUUU